RNAcentral lists this long non-coding RNA (987 nucleotides) under Homo sapiens (human). RNAcentral's name for it is "PSMD7 divergent transcript (PSMD7-DT)". Lineage: Eukaryota; Metazoa; Chordata; Mammalia; Primates; Hominidae. The record is from RNAcentral.
GUAGAUCAUCAUCAUAACAGCUCCCAGUGAAUCAAUGCCUCCCUGCAUCCACACCCCUUUGUAACAUGAUAUUGUUGCUCUUCCCAUCAAGAAAUGGUCUCUUUUGGCCGGGCACAGUAGCUCACGUCAUCCCAGCACUUUGGGAGGCUGAGGCAGGCAGAUGGCUUGAGUGUAACAAUAUGUUGAAUUUGCCAUGGGCCUUUAAAGCUUCAAUGUUGUGAAGAGCUCUGCAUGAAAUUUUAAAGAGACUGGACCUUUCAUCUGCACAACAGCAGGGCACCUCGCUAUAGGGACAAGAAAGGAAGAGAGAGAGAGAACAUUUCUGAAGUAAUAGUGAAAAAUAACAGCAGAAGCAAUUAUUUCAUCAAAGAUUGCAGGGAGAGGCUCCUCCGUGCUCCUGAGAGGCCGAACACAGGGUCGCCAGCACAGCUUACUGCUCGGUGUCUCCUGAGCCACAGAGGAAGACGUGGCAGGAGCACCUGGUGCUAAUAUAUAUUCAUGUCUAUGGCAAUGCCGACCAUCUGGCUGGUCUGAACCAGGAUAAAAGUGAAGAAUUCCUCUGUGAAGACCCAGCUCUUUCUUUGGCUCCUUUUUUGAAGCCAUCUUUGCUCUGCUCUCCUCUGCUGCCCAGAAAGUUCCAGAGUGAAGCUCAGCUCUAGAUGAACAAAAACUGGUUGAGUCCAGAGAUGCCUGAGUUGGAGAUGAACCUUGCAAACUUUCCUCAUUACCAUACUAAAAACCCCACCCAGGAAGGAGCUUAUCUGCCAUUUCCUACACAUGUGACAUAUGGAGAAGCAUGAUCAGCUACUUCACAGUCUCUGCCUUUACUCUGCCUCCGCAUACAAUGGCUCAGCCAACUAGCCUAACGAAAGCUGUUUUCACCAUUGUUUGGGAGGUACUGCUUUGGGAAACUGCCCCAGCUGUCCUCCUUACUUGUUGUAGGUAAUAAAAUCCCUUUGUUAAAUCAAAAAAAAAAAAAAAAAAAAA